Molecule: unclassified non-coding RNA, 103 nt
Organism: Prolemur simus (greater bamboo lemur)
Lineage: Eukaryota; Metazoa; Chordata; Mammalia; Primates; Lemuridae
Rfam family: Y RNA
About the family: Y RNAs are components of the Ro ribonucleoprotein particle (Ro RNP), in association with Ro60 and La proteins. The Y RNAs and Ro60 and La proteins are well conserved, but the function of the Ro RNP is not known. In humans the RNA component can be one of four small RNAs -- hY1, hY3, hY4 and hY5.
Source: Ensembl
GGCUGGUUCAAGUGCACUGAUGUUUAUAACUAAUUAAUCACAACCAAUCUGUAGAUUUCUUUAUUCCUUCUCUACUCCCACUGCUUCACUUGACUAGCCUAAC